GACGAACGCUGGCGGCGUGCUUAACACAUGCAAGUCGAAUGAAGAGCGACGGAAGCUUGCUUCUAUCAAUCUUAGUGGCGAACGGGUGAGUAACGCGUAAUCAACCUGCCCUUCAGAGGGGGACAACAGUUGGAAACGACUGCUAAUACCGCAUACGAUCUAACCUCGGCAUCGAGGAUAGAUGAAAGGUGGCCUCUACAUGUAAGCUAUCACUGAAGGAGGGGAUUGCGUCUGAUUAGCUAGUUGGAGGGGUAACGGCCCACCAAGGCGAUGAUCAGUAGCCGGUCUGAGAGGAUGAACGGCCACAUUGGGACUGAGACACGGCCCAGACUCCUACGGGAGGCAGCAGUGGGGAAUCUUCCGCAAUGGACGAAAGUCUGACGGAGCAACGCCGCGUGAGUGAUGACGGCCUUCGGGUUGUAAAGCUCUGUUAAUCGGGACGAAAGGCCUUCUUGCGAAUAGUGAGAAGGAUUGACGGUACCGGAAUAGAAAGCCACGGCUAACUACGUG
This 510-nucleotide ribosomal RNA is filed under the name uncultured bacterium. RNAcentral describes it as "partial 16S ribosomal RNA". It matches the Rfam family "Bacterial small subunit ribosomal RNA", at positions 28 to 507 of the family's 1533-position model. The record is from RNAcentral.